Molecule: ribosomal RNA, 502 nt
Filed under: uncultured bacterium
Lineage: Bacteria
Description: partial 16S ribosomal RNA
Rfam family: Bacterial small subunit ribosomal RNA
Source: RNAcentral
AUUGAACGCUGGCGGCGUGCCUAACACAUGCAAGUCGAGCGGUAACAGGUGUAGUAAUACAUGCUGACGAGCGGCGAACGGGUGAGUAAUGCUUCGGAAUCUACCUUAUGGUGGGGAAUAACUAGCCGAAAGGUUAGCUAAUACCGCAUACGUCCUACGGGAGAAAGCAGGGGAUCGCAAGACUUUGCGCCAAAAGAUGAGCCGAAGUCGGAUUAGCUAGUUGGUAGGGUAACGGCCUACCAAGGCGACGAUCCGUAGCUGGUCUGAGAGGACGACCAGCCACACUGGGACUGAGACACGGCCCAGACUCCUACGGGAGGCAGCAGUGGGGAAUAUUGGACAAUGGGGGAAACCCUGAUCCAGCGACGCCGCGUGUGUGAAGAAGGCCUGCGGGUUGUAAAGCACUUUUAGUGGGGAUGAAAUGUGCAGGGUUAAUACCUCUGCAUUUUGACCUAACCCACAGAAAAAGCACCGGCUAACUCUGUGCCAGCCGCCGCAGUAA